AAUUUUUUGGCUGCUGCCCUGUCGCAUAUGAUCUCCAACCCAGGGAUCAGAACUGAGCCGCAGUUGUGACCUAUGCUGUAGCUGUGGCAACACCUGAUUCUUAUCCCACUGUGCCAGGCUAGGGAUGGAACCAUUGUCCUAGCACUCCAGAGAUGCCACUGCCAAUCUUGUUGUGCCACAGAGGGAACUCCAAAGGCUGUUUCUUGCUCCUUCUAUUCUGGGCAGUUAAUCCAAAUAUGGAACUCAACCCUGAGUUUUCCACCAAAAGCACACUCAUGUGUGAGGUAGUAUACACAGCUAAAAUGGAAAUCAUAUAAAACUCCACAUUAGAUAUACCUGGCCUAAAUGUCCUUAAACAAUUUUUGCAUCUCCAUUCUCCUGCUUCAUUGCUUAGACCUCUGCUUUCUACCUUUUAUUUCCUGGCCAAUCUCUCUUCUACCAGAUCAAAAAAAAAAAAAAAAAGAAAAGAAAAAAGAAAAAAAUUUCCCACUCUCUUAUACAAAGAAAUUUAGCUCUUUCUAGUUCAUACCCCUCCAUUUAAGAUUUGGUAUCAUUUAAAAAUCUAAACUCAACCAAGUCCUCACCCCUCCAAAAAAAAAUCAUUUUACAUACACCUGUCGUAUUUGUUGCAGUAACAAACAACUUGAAAUCUCUAUAGGUUCCCAAAACAAGCAUUUAUUUAUUGUUCAUGGUAUCCGUCAAUAACUGCAACUCUGUCCUAUGGAUCUUCUCAUUCUGGGAACCAUGCUGAAGAAGGACCAUGGUAGAUAAAAAAGCAAACCAGUUGACAGAAACACACUGCCUCUUAAGUCUCUACUUAGAACUAAAACAUUAUCAGAGCUCCUGUUGCAACUCAGCAGAAACGAAUAUGACUAGCAUCCAUGAAGACUCAGGCUGGAUCCGUGGCCUUGCUCAGUAGGUUAAGGAUCUGGCAUUGCCAUGAGCUGUGGUGUAGGUUGCAGACUCGGCUUGGAUCCUGCAUUGCUGUGGCUCUGGUAUAGGCCAGGGGCGACAGCUCCAAUUCAACCCCUACCCUGGGAACCUCCAUAUGCCAUUCGUAUGGCCCUAAAAAGACAAAACAAAACAAAACAAAACAAAACAAAAACUAAUACUUUGUCACUUCCACUCAUCUUCCAUUGACCCAUGUCACAUGGCUGACUCAGAAAAUGAAAUGGGAAAGUAAACAUCUGUUCUCUUCCAGAGAAGAGAAUAGUUGGAAAUAUUAAUACAACUUGUCAUAAUCUAAGAAGAGUCACCCUCCUUAUAAUUAAUCAUAAACUGCAGCUUUAUCCCUUCCCUUAUACUUGAUUCAUGAUUAGGAUGGGUAUGUAGUAGUGGUUUUGAAAGUUAUCAGUUGUGAGUGUGGGAGGGUGCCUAUCAGAAAAAUCUAAAGAUCUUCUCUAAUAUGUGUGACCUCCCUACCCUAACCUCCACCACCAUUCUGAUUUGUCCCUGGGAGCAGGAGCAGGUAUGUACACUUUGCAAAGAAUCCUCAAGUGGUUAUAUACAUAUUUCUUUUUAGGGCCAUACCAGCGGCAUAUGGAGGUUCCCAAGUUAGGGGUUGAAUUGGAGCUAUGUAGCUAGCCAACACCACGGCCACAGCAACACCAGAUCCAAGCUGCAUCUGUGACCUACACCACAGCUCAUGGCAACGCUGGAUCCUUAACCCACUGGUCGAGGCCAGGGAUCAUACCCUCAUGGAUACUAGUCAGAUUCGUUUCCACUGAGCCACGACAGGAACUCCAAGUGAUUUUGAUACUUUCUACCUUCAACGCUUUUGAGAACCACUGGAAAAUGGGUUUGGGGGGAAUGCUCUUGUCAUUUUUUGUCCCUGCCAUUCCUGACACUUUAAGUACAAGCCAUCCAAUUAUCCAUGUUGCAGCAAGCACAUAACAGACACAAACAGGGAAUAACAUCUGCCUCUGAUAUUUGGCCAGGACUCUCUUUCUGCCAAGAGAAGUUUUUUACAUUGCAAGGGGUAUAGAGAUUUGCUACUUUAAAUAAAGGAACUAUUGGUGAAGUUUCUGUGGGAAUAUAUUUUGAAAGUUUUCAACCAAGAAGAGUGAAACAUAAUUUUAGAUUGAGCUAAAUUGGUUGGUGUGGAUGCACCUACCAGAGGUGCCACAUGCAAAGGGCUGGCUCAAGCAGUUGGGUGUCUAACUGGGGCUGGCUGAAUAAGGCAAAUCAGUCUCUGACACUGGCCCUCAUUAAAGAAAGUGAAGAUGCCAAAAAUCCCUUGGCAUAUAUACAGGAAGGAAAUCAAAGACUCCUUGAGAUAGGAAUGCUGGAGUAGGUCCAUUGUGAGUGUCCUGCUUGUAUAUCCAUGACUGUUGCCCCAGAAAGGACUGGAAUGACUAUUCCUUUCCUUAAGACCUUGAGAUCUGCUCUGCUGAGGGGAAUUUCAGCAUCUUUUUUAAAAAGUGCUUCACUAUUAUCUGAAUGUUGGAAACUGCUGGUGGGAAAAGUUGCAAUUAAAAUGUGUCCCCCAGUUGCAACUAGGAGAGGCGAAUCUUGGGGUUACAGAAGUGAGAUAGCCUACCUCAGUGAUCAGAGGCAAGUUGUGCGUGAUUUUAAUAAGCCAGAACCUUAGCUUGGUAAUCAGAUAUCUCAGAGAACCCUGGCCAUGUCUAUUUGAGCAGAGAAUUACCAUUAAUAUCUUACUUGAUUUGUGCAAGGAGGGUUAAAUAAUUGCUAAGCUAAUACAAAAGAGUCAUGACUCCUCAUCCAGUUCCACAACUGGAUCCAUAGAACUUUGGCACCUUGCUUAAAGGGGAGACUAGGUACCAUGUUAUAACUGCUAGAGUGAAUUCUUUGACUAUUACUCCCAGAUAUUAUUCUUUUUUGGCCACGUCCAUGGCAUGUGGAAGUUUCCAGGCCAGAGAUCAAACCUGCACCAUGGCAGUGACAAUGCCAGGUCCUUAACUUACUAAGCCACUGGGGAACUCCUACUCCAAGACAUUCUUAAUGGCCAUUUAAUAGGAUAACUGUGUCUAGAAUGAGAGAAAUAAUUAAAGCUUUUUUGGAAACUGUUAGAAACUUAUUUGAGCUAAUAGCAACUUCUGGUAUACAGAAAUCCAUUGAAACCUACCUAUCAGAAAAAAGACUUACCUCGGUCAGGUAAAAAAAAAAAAUGAAGUGUGACCCAGUCAAACUCUAAACCGUUCAUUCUGUGGAUUUUUUUUUUUCCAUUUCCUGUGUUGAAUAGAAUAUCCUCGGCAACCAGUAAAAAUUCCCAGAUUUUUUUCCCCUGGACUACUGUGGUUGGAAGAACCGAGUGGAAGACACUGAUCUUUCUUCUCCAUUUUAAAGUAGUAAUCAUUUCCUGGUGGCCUGGCAAUUAAGGAUUCACCACAGUCACUGCUGUGUUCAGAUCACUGCUGUGGCGCAGGUUUGAUCUCUAGCCUGGGAAUGUCUGUAUGCCACAGGCACAGUUAAAAAAAAAAAAAAGUAUAUUAAAGACAAUGCUGGAGUUCCCGUCGUGGUGCAGUGGUUAACGAAUCCGACUGGGAACCAUGAGGUUGAGGGUUCGGUCCCUGCCCUUGCUCAGUGGGUUAACUAUCCGGCAUUGCCAUGAGCUGUGGUGUAGGUUGCAGACGCGGCUCGGAUCCCGCGUUGCUGUGGCUCUAGCGUAGGCCAGGGGCUACAGCUCCGAUUCGACCCCUAGCCUGGGAACCUCCAUAUGCCAUAG
RNAcentral lists this long non-coding RNA (3688 nucleotides) under Sus scrofa (pig). Its description in RNAcentral is "lncRNA (ENSSSCG00015044057.1)". The record is from RNAcentral. Lineage: Eukaryota; Metazoa; Chordata; Mammalia; Artiodactyla; Suidae.